Caenorhabditis elegans is the source of this 113-nucleotide non-coding RNA. NCBI's taxonomy places the organism in Eukaryota, Metazoa, Nematoda, Chromadorea, Rhabditida, Rhabditidae. The record is from Ensembl.
AAAACUGCAUAACUCAUUCUUUGUCGGUAAACAACUGUUGACUUCUUUUUAUGAUCUCACUUCCUGACCUCAAUUUUACAACAUAUCUUUUAUCCAAUUUUUUUACACCGUCC